AGGCAGUUCUUGACACACUUAAAACAUGAAUCAAUUGAACAUCUUCGGGGUUGAUGUAGGGCAGGGGCAGGGCUUUACGUUGGGUUAGUUAGGAGUGUGUGAGGGGGGAAAUCUGAUAAGAGGUUUUAUACCGAUAUGUCCCUGAUGGAGAUUCAGCGAAAAAACACCUGGUGAUAUAAUCAUUUAAAUGUGGCAUGAGUUGGAGAAUAAAGGGCUGAUGGAGCUCAAAGAAUAAAGGGCUGAUGGAGCUCAAGGAAUAAAGGACUGAUGGAGCUCAAGGGAUGAAGGGCUAAUGGAGCUCAAGAAAUAAAGGGCUGAUGGAGCUCAAGGAAUAAAGGGCUGAUGGAGCUCAAGGGAUCAAAAUGAAUCUUCUAUUAAUACAAGUCCUCUGAGUCAUUCAAAGAAUUCCAUGUCUGGUUUAAGAUGUGCUGAUGUCAGCAAAUACAGUUAUGUUCAUUGAUGGUUAGAUAACUAUUUAAUAUACUGUGUGUGUGUGUGUGUGAAUGUGUGUGUGUACGUGUACCAGAACGGAGUAUUUAUCUCCCAUUGUGUAUUCCGAUAGUUCCUCCAUAACCCAUGUAACGUGUAAUGUGCUGAGGGAUCAGAUCUCACUUGUUUGGUAUUUCAAAGGUGCAAAAAUCUACUACAGAACAAAUGUCACAAAUAUAAACAGUUCAUGGCUAUAGUACUUAGUGUCCUAUACUACAAAUGUUUCUACAUUCCAAGUGCAGUGUCUGGGCUGCUUAAUCAACUUUAUUAACCAAAUGAUGUGUGUGUUGUGUUACAAACUCCUUACAGGAAUGUGGUAUGUGAUACAUAUAAAAGUCAUAUAUAUAUAUACACAUUUGUAGCCAUUACACCUAAAAUAGAUAUUGCUUGAAAGAUAUCAUUCUGGCCUUGUACUGAAUUUUCAUAAUUGAUUAUUUUUAAGUCUUUUGACAAUUUUUUUUUUUGAUGUUCUUGUCUUUAGGUCCUUUGAAAUGUUGACACAUGCAAUUUCUGCUAUACACUUCAAUAGUAAUGAAGAUAUUUUCAUUUUUUUUGCUAAGCUUUGAGACAAAAAAAAUAAAGAUAUUUAAAGACAGAAAAUCAAAGUUGAUUUCCUAUUCAUUAUGCUAAAGGUUCUUUUAAAAUCCUGAAAUUUUCUCCAAAUAUGAAGAUAUGACAGGACUUGGAAGGAUUUUCCAUCAUGACACCGAUAAUCAUAUACAUGUAUACAUAAUGAACAAUACAAUAUGAUUGCAUAUUUAUAUUAAACAAUACAAAUCUAUUAUCAGAAAAUUAAAUGUGCCAUUAAAUCUCAUUUAUAUUAUGCUGUUCCUCUGCUCAAGCAGACACAUAUAAUAUACGUCAGGACUAUUAUUACUUCACCUCUUUUGAGCUUAUAUUGUGAAUGUGGUGGUCAGGGGACUUAACUCUUGGUAGUUAAAUCUAUGAUGGUCAGGGGACUUAACUCUUGGUAGUUAAAUCUAUGAAAGGAUUACUGUUCUUUAGGUAUUUUUCCUGAUUUUUUUUGAUUUUAUCAUUACUAUUUUUUGUUUGCUUUAUUCAAAUUUUGAUAAAACCUUCAAAGAUUUUGAUCAUAUGUCAUAGAAAAAAUACCACAUACAUCAAUGAUAGCCUAAGCUUUGAGACACAAACAUGUAAAUAACCCAAUAUACAGAGCAUAGUAUUAAUUGUCUAAAUCUGUCAUCAUAUGAAAAUGUCAUCUUUGAAGUACAUUCAAAAAUCACCUUCCAACUGCCUGAUUACAUGUGAAAUCAAAUAAACCAAUUGUUUCAAGCAUGAAAACAAUCACACAGUUGUGAUCGACGAUUGUUUGACAAAAAUACUUCCUAGUGUUUUUUAUUUCCAAAAACUAUUUGUAUAGGCUUGCAUAUCUAUCACAGCUAGUGAUCACCUCUGUAGAGGUCAAAAGCCCAUAAUAAACUGCAAUCACAAAAGAAAAAAAUUCAUGUUUAAAAAGAAAGUAUUCAUUUUAACAUGUUGAAUGUAAGAAAGGUACACAUAUAUAGUAUAAUGGUAUUGGGAUCACUACAGGUGUUCAGGUGUGAAAGUUGCUUGAGUUUUCUCUGAUUGUUUUAGAGUUGGAGGUGGGUGAACAGUAGUAUAUUUGAUUCCUCUCCAAGUGUUUGGAGUUGGAGUCAAUAGCCUCCUUGGAAUUCCAGGGGUUACAAUCACCUACAUUCUCUGCACCCCUGGAAUAUGGCGGGACGAAAUUGAAGGCUCAGUAUGUGCCACCUUGUGGAUGAUACAAGUAACCUACCCUGGUCGUUAGAUCCUUUGAUAUACAUCAAAAGAAUCGCACAGCUGCAUAUCUGUAAAAUUUUGACCGGGUGUCGCUCCUCUGUAACCUUCGAAGUACAAGUACCAAGCUAGCAAUUGGUCAGGUUAUUUCAGCUGAAACCAAUCAAAUAGCUAACUGUGUGUCUUUGGUUUUGUCACGACAUAUUCCACGGGCGCAGAGAACGUAUCUGAUUUUUAACCACUGCAAUUUCGAGCAUAUGGAGGCAUGGGUGAAAACGUAAAGUUGAUAUAUGUUUGGAUCACACAAGAAUUGAGAGGACGAUAACUAUUAACUGGAUGAUAUAUUUUGUGAGGAUCUAUAGGGAAUACUUUGUGUUCUAUCCAAUACCUGUUGAGAGGGUGUCGGUUUAUAUAGGAAAACAAUCUCAGCUACUUUACUUUGUCAAAUAUUCAAUGUCAGUACGAUGAUACUCGAUAACGAUUAUAUGUCUGUGAUAGCAGUGCAGAUACAUGUUUACCCAUGUUCAUUGUAUUUGUGAUAAGAAUUCCAUUCUACUAUUACCUGUCUCUAUCUCUGUUCAGUUUUGUUUUGUCAAACCAACAUUGCAAGCCUUCAAGUGAUCAACAUCUUGAUCACCAAGGCCCUUAACUUAAAUGUAAACUUAUGAUUGUUUGUUAUAGCUCUAAUCUUAAAAUCAUCGAGUUCUACACAAAAAAUGUAAUGCUUUUAAUGCUGGAGGUCAGAGGUCACAGUCUGCUUGAAGUGCUGUAGAUAUAUGUUUGACUGGAAUAUGGUCUCAGUGCUAGAAAUGCAAGCUUCUGUGUGAUAGAGAUUUACCUGGAGAAGGCCUACUAGGGUUUCCACUUGCAAUUGCCAGGUAGAAAGCGUGUGCGAGUGAUUAGCCAAGCUAUGUUACAGUAUGGUAGUGUAUGGGGUGUAGUGCUGUAAACAGCGCUCUGGUUAUAUUUAAAUAACUUUCAUAUAAAUGACCUUUGUAUAUAUUGAACUCAGUACUUAAAUAUUCCAUUACUAUUGUACAUAUCAGCUGAAUGUAAUUUCUAUGUUAAAUGUUCCAUUGCUAGCUAGCUGUUGGUCAGUUCACAUAAAAGUUAUUUUUUCUACCUUAAUUUUAAAACAGCCUGUUUCUACAUGAACUGAGAAUAGUUAAGCAUCCGUUAUUUUGAUCGAAAUCAAGAAGAAAAUCUUUGAUUUCAUCGUCAUAUCGGGUAAAAAAAAAAAAGCCCUUUUUAUUAUCCAGGGGGAAGCAGCCUAUAUUCAGCUAUAAAACUAGGCUAAAAUCACUGGUUUAUAAACAUUGUUUUAAAGGUCAAGGUUUGUAAAAAAUACCAUUGGUAAGGAGUCGUUGUAGGAGAGAAUUAAUUGAUGAUAUACUACAGCAGCUACCAGUUUGUAUAAUGGUAGUCUGAAUUGACAGUGAACAAGGUCAAAGGUAGACAACUUCCGGAGAUCGUUAUGAUAUUGGGAAGUGUAUGAUCAAAGUGUACUGGAUAUGAAAAAGGUAGGUGGGGUAAGAAGGGAAUUGGAAACAGCUACUUUUGUAUGAUCUACAUAAUACGGAAACAUCUAGGAUAUAGAGAAAAUUAACUCUUGUACAUAUGUUUAUCUUGAAAUACGGAACUUCUCGAAUUCCUGAUGUCUUCAGAUGUAAUGAAGACUCUAAAAUUUGAACUAUGACGAACUCAUUUUUUAUGCAUUAUUCAAAAAUAACAUUAGGAAUCAUUUCAACAACAAACCUGAUUUUUCUUAAAAUAAAGGAUUACUUAA
RNAcentral lists this long non-coding RNA (4033 nucleotides) under Mizuhopecten yessoensis (Yesso scallop). RNAcentral describes it as "uncharacterized LOC110467342". Lineage: Eukaryota; Metazoa; Mollusca; Bivalvia; Pectinida; Pectinidae. The record is from RNAcentral.